Molecule: ribosomal RNA, 448 nt
Filed under: uncultured bacterium
Lineage: Bacteria
Description: SSU rRNA
Rfam family: Bacterial small subunit ribosomal RNA
Source: RNAcentral
AGAGCGAACGCUGGCGGCAGGCUUAACACAUGCAAGUCGAGCGGAUGUAGCAAUACAUCAGCGGCAGACGGGUGAGUAACACGUGGGAACGUACCUUUUGGUUCGGAACAACACAGGGAAACUUGUGCUAAUACCGGAUAAGCCCUUACGGGGAAAGAUUUAUCGCCGAAAGAUCGGCCCGCGUCUGAUUAGCUAGUUGGUGAGGUAAUGGCUCACCAAGGCGACGAUCAGUAGCUGGUCUGAGAGGAUGAUCAGCCACAUUGGGACUGAGACACGGCCCAAACUCCUACGGGAGGCAGCAGUGGGGAAUAUUGGACAAUGGGCGCAAGCCUGAUCCAGCCAUGCCGCGUGAGUGAUGAAGGCCCUAGGGUUGUAAAGCUCUUUUGUGCGGGAAGAUAAUGACGGUACCGCAAGAAUAAGCCCCGGCUAACUACGUGCCAGCAGCCGC